This 498-nucleotide ribosomal RNA is filed under the name uncultured bacterium. RNAcentral describes it as "partial 16S ribosomal RNA". It matches the Rfam family "Bacterial small subunit ribosomal RNA", at positions 28 to 507 of the family's 1533-position model. The record is from RNAcentral.
GACGAACGCUGGCGGCGUGCCUAAUACAUGCAAGUCGAGCGGACGGAUGGGAGCUUGCUCCCAGACCGUCAGCGGCGGACGGGUGAGUAACACGUGGGCAACCUGCCUGUAAGACUGGGAUAACUCCGGGAAACCGGGGCUAAUACCGGAUAACUCUUUCCCUCACAUGAGGGAAAGCUGAAAGAUGGCAUCUCGCUAUCACUUACAGAUGGGCCCGCGGCGCAUUAGCUAGUUGGUGAGGUAACGGCUCACCAAGGCGACGAUGCGUAGCCGACCUGAGAGGGUGAUCGGCCACACUGGGACUGAGACACGGCCCAGACUCCUACGGGAGGCAGCAGUAGGGAAUCUUCCGCAAUGGACGAAAGUCUGACGGAGCAACGCCGCGUGAGUGAUGAAGGUUUUCGGAUCGUAAAACUCUGUUGUCAGGGAAGAACAAGUACCGGAGUAACUGCCGGUACCUUGACGGUACCUGAUCAGAAAGCCACGGCUAACUACGUG